This 445-nucleotide ribosomal RNA is filed under the name uncultured bacterium. RNAcentral describes it as "partial 16S ribosomal RNA". It matches the Rfam family "Bacterial small subunit ribosomal RNA", at positions 354 to 796 of the family's 1533-position model. The record is from RNAcentral.
GUGAGGAAUAUUGGUCAAUGGGCGGGAGCCUGAACCAGCCAAGUCGCGUGAAGGAAGAAGGAUCUAUGGUUCGUAAACUUCUUUUGCAGGGGAAUAAAGUGCAGGACGUGUCCUGUUUUGUAUGUACCCUGAGAAUAAGGAUCGGCUAACUCCGUGCCAGCAGCCGCGGUAAUACGGAGGAUCCGAGCGUUAUCCGGAUUUAUUGGGUUUAAAGGGUGCGUAGGUGGUUUGAUAAGUCAGCGGUGAAAGUUUGCAGCUUAACUGUAAAAAUGCCGUUGAAACUGGCGGACUUGAGUGUAAAUGAGGUAGGCGGAAUGCGUGGUGUAGCGGUGAAAUGCAUAGAUAUCACGCAGAACUCCGAUUGCGAAGGCAGCUUACUAAGCUACAACUGACACUGAAGCACGAAAGCGUGGGGAUCAAACAGGAUUAGAAACCCGAGUAGUCC